UAACGAAUCUUCCGCAAUGCACGCAAGUGUGACGGAGCGACGCCGCGUGUGGGACGAAGUCCUUCGGGAUGUAAACCACUGUCAGGGGUUACCAAGUUCUGAGGAGCCCCAGAGGAAGGCACGGCUAACUCUGUGCCAGCAGCCGCGGUAAGACAGAGGUGCCAAGCGUUAGGCGGAAUCACUGGGCUUAAAGCGUGUGUAGGCGGGUCGUUAAGUGUCUUGUGAAAUCCCCCGGCUCAACCGGGGAAUGGCUGGGCAUACUGGCGAUCUUGAGCAGUCUAGGGGCAGAUGGAACAGACGGUGGAGCGGUGAAAUGCGUAGAUAUCGUCUGGAACGCCAAAGGUGAAGACAGUCUGCUGGGGACUUGCUGACGCUGAGACACGAAAGCCAGGGGAGCGAACGGGAUUAGAUACCCCCGUAGUC
This 423-nucleotide ribosomal RNA is filed under the name uncultured bacterium. Its description in RNAcentral is "bacterial SSU rRNA". It matches the Rfam family "Bacterial small subunit ribosomal RNA", at positions 355 to 795 of the family's 1533-position model. The record is from RNAcentral.